AGAGUACACCUGCUUCGAGCUCA
This 23-nucleotide non-coding RNA is filed under the name Arabidopsis thaliana (thale cress). The record is from RNAcentral. Lineage: Eukaryota; Viridiplantae; Streptophyta; Magnoliopsida; Brassicales; Brassicaceae.